RNAcentral lists this ribosomal RNA (465 nucleotides) under uncultured Klebsiella sp. Its description in RNAcentral is "bacterial SSU rRNA". It matches the Rfam family "Bacterial small subunit ribosomal RNA", at positions 338 to 795 of the family's 1533-position model. Lineage: Bacteria; Pseudomonadati; Pseudomonadota; Gammaproteobacteria; Enterobacterales; Enterobacteriaceae. The record is from RNAcentral.
CCUACGGGCGGCUGCAGUGGGGAAUAUUGCACAAUGGGCGCAAGCCUGAUGCAGCCAUGCCGCGUGUGUGAAGAAGGCCUUCGGGUUGUAAAGCACUUUCAGCGGGGAGGAAGGCGGUGAGGUUAAUAACCUCAUCGAUUGACGUUACCCGCAGAAGAAGCACCGGCUAACUCCGUGCCAGCAGCCGCGGUAAUACGGAGGGUGCAAGCGUUAAUCGGAAUUACUGGGCGUAAAGCGCACGCAGGCGGUCUGUCAAGUCGGAUGUGAAAUCCCCGGGCUCAACCUGGGAACUGCAUUCGAAACUGGCAGGCUAGAGUCUUGUAGAGGGGGGUAGAAUUCCAGGUGUAGCGGUGAAAUGCGUAGAGAUCUGGAGGAAUACCGGUGGCAAAGGCGGCCCCCUGGACAAAGACUGACGCUCAGGUGCGAAAGCGUGGGGAGCAAACAGGAUUAGAUACCCCUGUAGUC